GAGGCACACGCCUCUUUCUUCUUCCUUUCUCACGCGUUAUUUUCUGAAAAAAACACAGAGGAGCAACAGCAAUAGUCACUUGCCUCACAUUCUCAGUUUCUCACGAUGAUGAAAAACAACAAACUCGGUGGUCCUUCUCUCUCGAGCCCUCAAUCGUGAACAACAACAAUCAGAACUCUUGUUUCUCUUAGCUCACUCUCUCUGCGAAUAAUAGCAACGGAAAAGAGAGCUCUCUCUCUCUCUCUCAAUUUCUCACGGCUACCAUGAGAGGAGCUCAGAGACUCUCAGCUUCUUAUGAUUCAAACCAAACAGUUUUCACUCUCGGCGAAACAACAACAACUUGGUCUCUCUUGCCCAGACAACAAGUUUCGAUUCAUAUGUUUGAAGAUAAACUCAAGAAACUUGCAGUAAUAAUUAUCAUGUGUUAACAGAGACUAAUUACCAACAAUUUUCAGUGAUAAAGAGUGAAAUCGAGUUACCUGCGGCGAGGAGAUUUUCGCCGGAUUUUGUUGAGCUAUGAAACGCAAAUUUGCUGUUGUUGCAACUGUUGUUGUUGCUGAAUUUUUGAACCUUAUGCUUGCUGCUAGUUGUUAACAACCUUGAAUGGCUUUUGAUGAAGGUGAUGCCAUAACACCUCUUUGGAUUAUGGGAGAACUUGAAGAUGGAACUUCAAGUUGUUGAAAGCUUGAAGAUGAAGAUCUUCAAGUAAGGUAUGAAAAACCACUACCUUUUCACUCUUUCUCUCUUUUUUUGUAGAAUAACACUUAGAAGUAGGAGAAUUCUAUGUGUUACUCUUGCCCUCUU
This is a long non-coding RNA of Vicia villosa (hairy vetch), 804 nucleotides long. RefSeq lists it as uncharacterized. The transcript has 5 exons. NCBI's taxonomy places the organism in Eukaryota, Viridiplantae, Streptophyta, Magnoliopsida, Fabales, Fabaceae. The record is from RefSeq and is a predicted model, not a curated record.